GUCAGCAGCCAUAGCAACUGUGGUUUGAACCAGGAAAUUGAAGCUAAGUCAUUUUGGGCCUGGCCAGUAGUUGUAUGGGAACCCAACUAGAAAAGGCUGGGUUGCUGCUGGAA
RNAcentral lists this ribosomal RNA (113 nucleotides) under Paramormyrops kingsleyae. The record is from RNAcentral. Lineage: Eukaryota; Metazoa; Chordata; Actinopteri; Osteoglossiformes; Mormyridae.